This is a long non-coding RNA of Brassica napus (rape), 6521 nucleotides long. RefSeq lists it as uncharacterized. NCBI's taxonomy places the organism in Eukaryota, Viridiplantae, Streptophyta, Magnoliopsida, Brassicales, Brassicaceae. The transcript is spliced from 7 exons. The record is from RefSeq and is a predicted model, not a curated record.
AACGCAGAUUCGGAAUAAGAACUAUCUUGAUCUCUUUUUCGAUUUCUUAUUUUAUUACUGUUCUCGUUUCGUGUUCUGAUUGCUUGGCGUGUGGUAUUAGCAGAUAUCUGGGACCUCUGGGAAAUUAGGGUUCUCCUACUUUCCUAAUUUAAACGGAAAUCGACAGUGCGAAUUUCGGUUCCCACACUUCUCUUCUUGCUCGACCUCGAAUUCCUCUUUGGGAACAAUAUCCUCAUUGGUACAUGGAUUGCCAGAAGAUGAUUGAGGGGAAGUCUUUUUCUUAGAGGAUCUCUUUCUUGAAGUCAUUUUUUGAAAGACAAAAACUUUGACACAAAGGUAAAGAGAGAGAGGAUAAGUGAAAUUUCUUGUGAAGAGAAGUUAAUAAAGACUUUGAAAAAACUUACUCCACCUAUAUAUAGGAAAAAAGGUUACUAUUCAUUCUCGGACUUUCAGCAAACGAUUACGUCUAAUUCCAUCAAAACAAGUCAUACCGCAAGCUAGGACCUCACACUCAGGUCCACGGAUCCUAGCUAGCUGGGGGGCCAACUGUUGGGGUCAAAACCGGUCACGGCAGAAUCAACUGUUGGUUCCCGGAAAACCAACUCACGAUCGAUCAUUGAAAAUUAGACAUUCCCGGAAAACGGUUAAAUCAAGUAAAAAACAGUUUUUCGCGGAUGCGAACCGAGGAACGUUGAGAAGAGGAUCAGUCUGGGUGAGGUCUCAAUCGUAAGCAAGGACCGACCACCUCGCCCUAGGGCGAUGACCGUCUCAACACGGGUCACCUUGCCCAUGGGCGAGGAUGACCAGCACCGAGAUCACCUCGCCCAUGGGCGAGGACGACUAGCACCGAGGUCACCUCGCCCAUGGGCGAGGACCGACCUCCUGUCCAGAACCGUGCAUCCUCGUCUAAGUUCUAGUAACACAAUCCUCGGGCCCUUGGACGCAAUACCCAUGUCUAAUCUCGCUUAGGAUUAUCAAAGAAAGACUUCGGGAAAAGUUAUAAAAAUCUUGGUCGUCGAAACGGAUUCCUGCCUGCCGUAUAAAACGGCUAUGGUUAGCUUGAACACAAGUUGCCUUAACUAUACGGGAAAUUGGAAUCCUUUCGGAAAAACCAACGGCUGUUUCUUAGGAUAAAUCGUAAAAACAUCUAAGUCCCAACACGGCCCAAAAGAGGCCUGAACCGCGGCUAAACGGCUCACUUACGAUUUUAGAACAGGAUUGAGCCUAAGGCUGAUAUGACGGUCUAUUUUUUAUUCGCAGGUAAAGAUGAAUGUCAAGUUUCCGAAGAUAGUCAUGAAGGGUGACGAAAAAUGAAAAAUCCCAUCUCGCAACGAAUCCGGCCCAGGAAAAGGUGCAAACUGACCUAGAGAGUAUAUAAGGAGGGCUUAAGGUGAGGAGCAAGAGAGAGCUUUUCUCAGAGAAAACUUAAUACUUAGAGCAAUUUAGGCAUUUUUCCGUUUUUACUAUCGAGCUGCAACUCGACUAGGUUAGAACUUAGGUGGCUAGACUAGCGAACGUACCGACAGCUCUCGUGGCCUAGGAUAUUACAUGUUGUUCACGCUCAAACGCGAAUUCGGAAAUAAGACCUCUUUGUUCUUUUUUCGCUCUUUUACGAUUUAUUACUUUCGACUCUUUCAUAUUGAUUGUGUUGUGCGUGGCCCAGCAGAUAACCGGGACCUUCAGGGAAGGCUAGGCAAGAUUUGAAGUUGAUGAGGAGUAUCAAAGGAUUGCAGUGCUUAAGCAGAUGGGAGGAUUAUGUAGAUCAUCCAAGUCACGCCUAGUUACCCAGAUUAAUGAUGCUGACAAUAACCAACAAAGGAUGAAUCUCAGACCGAAGAACGUUCCCCCGUUGAGUGGCACAAAUUCGUUAAGCUGAAAACUAGCAAUGAAUUCAAGGCUCUGAGUGAUAGCUACAAGGCGAGAAGACGCAACCAGAUACCUCACACAUGUAGUCGCAAGGGUAUGGUGAGACUAGCAGAAGAGAUGAAAAAAGGUUCUGCCGACCCAUCUGAAGUGUCGAGGCUUAAAAUCUGAUUGAAGUCACGUACCAGAAAAGAUGGGACUCCGAUUAACACGAAUGCCGCUGAGAAGAUUCGAAAGGCAGCUGAGAUUGUUAAAGGUACUAAUCAAUCAUCUGGCACAAAUCAAGAUGAAGAUGCACUCAUCCAACUGUUAGGACCUGAUAAUCCUGGUCGUAUGAGAGCAAUGGGCAGAAAUAUGAGUAAGACCAGAUUAGCUUGCUUCCAAGUGAAGCACAAGUCUAUUUCUGAAAUGCAAGAGAAUCAGAUUCAUCUCCAGGAAAAGGUUAAUGAGUUACAAGCUGAACUUGCGAAAGUUAAAAAAACAGAGAGAAGACAAUGAAGUGGGUGAAAACUCGCCUGCAAGAAACGUUGACACAAAAUCACAAAAGAGGUGUCUUCUUAUUGAUUGGGCUGAUGAAGAUGGGAAUGUUGCUGAGGGUCGUAUGCUUUCUUCAGACCCAAAUGAUAUAGUGAAUGAAAGUAGAUUAGGCCCUAUGAAUGCCAAAGUCUUUGUUGAUGCUGCUACUGAACCUGAAGCUUUCCUGUGGAGAUCUUCGAGCAACAUGUGCACAAUUAAGGAAGUUGUAGGACACAUUAUUGCAUGGCCUAAGAAUAAUUGUGUUGAACUAGGCCAGGGGCUCCAACCAGAAGACAUUUCUGGGAACCGAAAUUCACACUGUCGAUUUUAAUGAAUAAGUAUGGAGGAAAACCAAGAAAACCCAAUUUUCCCUGAAGGUCUGAAUUCUCUGCGUAAUCACUUUCAGAACGUAAAAAGAUAGAUAGCAAGAUAAAGAUAAAUAGUCGCUCGGAGGCGUUUUAUUAAUGAAAUAGUAUGAAUACAGGACUUUUUCGAGAGGAGUAGAGAUAUGCUAACUAGACAAAAGCAGAACAGAAAGGCGGCAAAACGUCAUAAGCCUUGCCUUGCUAGUCUAACCAACUAAGUUCUAAGUUCCCUAAGCUAGCAGGAGUUCUCUAAGUCUAAAUUAUCGGAUCCCUUUUCUUCCGCACCAGCUCUCUCUAUAUAGUUGGUUUAGGUCGGUGGCCCAUUUACUCCUUUGCUUUUGAGCCCAAGUUUAUCUCUUUUGGGAAUAUUCCAUUUUUCGUCGAUCUUUGUAGUUAUCCUCGAAUCUUCAUAUUUAUCUUCGGAAACUUAACGUUUAUCCUACUUCCGCGAGUUAGGAUAAACCGUCAUAACUCCCAUUGGGCUCGGGUCCCUUCAAAAUCGUAGAUUGGCCUCUAGACACGUUUAGAUCCUCUCGGGCCGUUUUUAGGCCUUCGGGCUUUUCUACGAUUUUAGUCGUAAAACUUCUAGAGUAACUCCGACCGAGACGAAACGAGAGGUAUAUGAUCCAAAAGUCGGAUAUCAGAACUAUACGGAGGACACGAGAGUCGAAACGAGUCGGACUGGCUGGGAUUGGAUUGUCCUCGCCCUAAGGCGAGGUGAAGCGGGCGCGGAUCGUCCUCGCCCAUGGGCGAGGUGACUGUGGUGCUGGUCGUCCUCACCCAUGGGCGAGGUGACCUUGGUGAUGGUUGUCCUCGCCCAGGGGCGAGGUGACCUUGGUGAUGGUCAUCCUCGCCCAUGGGCGAGGUGACCGUGGUGCUGGUCGUCCUCGCCCAUGGGCGAGGUGACCAUGGUGCUGGUCGUCCUCGCCCAUGGGCGAGGUGACCGUGGUGCUGGGCUUCCUCGCCCAUGGGCAAGAUGGCCUUGGUGAUGGUCGUCCUCGCCCAUGGGCGAGGUGGACAAGUGAGAACGGUCCGGUUAUCGGGUCUUGACCUGUCUCUUUUCGUACCGAUCUUUCGGGAGACUCGUCCAUAAGUAUUUGUAUUCUUCCGAUGAUUCUUUCGAGAAGUCUUUCGUGAAGAAUUUGCUAAAACGAUAAUCUUAGCCGUUGAUUUCGAGAUAACCGUUUUCGGCCCCAACAGUUAGCCCCCCAGCCUACAAGACUCGGAGACGAUUUUGCGAGCGAGUGAAGUGUUUUUAAUCGGAAUUUUCUAUUAAGAGUAUGUUUUUCCGUAGAUUGUCUUUUGAGAUUAUUUUAUUGCGGAAAUCCACGUUUCCCACAUAUCCUUAUAAGUAGCAACUCAUCAUUUCCCAUUCUUCACACAGCUUAUUCCUUCAAACUUUUCUCUCUUCAUUCUCUCAAGCAAGAAUGUCUUCCUCCCAAAACGAAAAGAAGAACUUCGACGUCGAGAUGGGUGAGGCCAGCCCGGUUCUACCGAUUCCGGCCAUUCAUGAAGCCACUCCGACUUUCGUUGCCGAAUUCCUUUCUUUCAAAGAGAGGUUAUCCAGGCGUAGUGCCGAAAUGGAAACUAGUCGGACCUCUGCUGAAACGUCGGCUAUCCCUUCCUCGUUUACGCUGUCGAUCUCAGCCGAAGGAAAGAAGUCUCUGAGCGAUGCUGUGCCCCUCGUAGGAAUUGAUACGGCACCUGUGCAAGUGCCGGAGGUCUUGGCCCAACCUUCGGGCUCUUCCACUACCCCAGUCCCGAUUCCUGAGAAAGGACAAGCAAUGGAGUCGAUGCCUCCGCCUUUGGACAGGAAAGAGAUCGUCCUAGGGCUUCCUGCGCCUAGUGCCGCUCUGCUGCCCAAAGGUCGCAAAAGGAAUGGCGCCGCAACCGAGACUGCCAAGAAGAGAAGAUGUUCCAAAGGUGCGGAAGGAGAGCCUUCGUGGCCUUUACCGCAAUAUCGCGUCAAGGUUUGUUUUCAAAAAAAAAAAAAAAAAAUUCUUGUAGGAUACUUUGUUCUUCAAUUAUUCUGACUCUUAUUUCGUUCGCAGUUCAUAUUGUUGAUCGACGGGAUGAUUAGCGACUGCGGUUCGGAGGUUGGGCAUUUGACAGAGGGCCUAGAAGGGUCGCGGGAGGCGUUGAAACGAAUUGAGGCCACGCUGAAAUCUACUGAGGACGCUCACGCCGCUGAGACUUCGCAGCUGGAGGUUCAGGUCAGCGGUCUCGAGUGGGAUCUCGGAAAGUUGGCGAGUGCAUUGUUUAGGAUGAAGAAAGAGAAAAAAGCCAAGGCUUCCGAAGUCCGUCGUCUUCAGCGCCAAAUCCAGAGUCAAGAAGAACCGAGGACUCGUGAUCCAGCGGGGACCGUUGUUCCGCGGGACGAGUUUCAUGCCCGCCUAACGAGGAUGGCUGUUCUGUUUGAUUCCUUCAUGGCAGUCCGUAAGAAGGAUUUGGCCCUGGCGGGAAUCGAGGGAGGUCUAAGUGAGAUCCAGCUACUCAAAGGCGAAGCGGUUCCGACUCUAGACUCUGAAGAGGCCAGGCUACUGUCUCAUAAAGAGGAACUGAUGGCCUACAAAGGUGACUUCGAUUUGAUCCUCUCUCUCUCCUGAAAUCUGAGAGCACCCUCACGCCGUGUUUGGAAGAGACCGAAGGGCAAGGCCAUGCGGCCGAAGAAGGCGAGGGCGAUGCAGUCGAGAGAGGUGACGGUGAAGUGGCUGAGGGAGGUGAUGGCGAUGCGGUCCCGAGUUCCGAUGAGGUUGAGGAUGAAGGCGGUGCUCCGAGGAGUGCCUAGGGUAAUGAUCCUUUCGGGAAUUUUCUUUGUUUUGUUUUGGCCUAUUCAUGAGGCCGUAAUUUGUAUGUUCUGGGACUGGCCGUCGGUGGCUUCGAAUCCCUGCCCUUGUUAGGGCUUUUUGUAAGAUGCUUGGCUCAAUCUAUAAAACUUUUCGAUUGUUAUAAAUUGGGAGAACUUCUGUUUUUCGUAGUUAGAGGGCGAGGGUGUGAGUUGUCGUCUCAUUCCCCCCCCCCCGAAUGAUCACCGUAUCCAUCGUUUGUUGAGUACGCGAGUGGUUUUCCGCUUUAUGCGAAGGCGCGUGAAAACGUACAGAUUUAAGUGAAGAGACAAGUUUUGGGAUCUCAUAUCAGGGUGUUGAUAUUAUGCCUUUGAGAUGUCAAGAUCCAGCAAGGCUGGGUUUAGGGCAAGACCUAGGUUUACUCUCGGACUGAGGCUAUGCGAUGACAAGUCGGCUUUCGUUUUGCCUGUUUGCGAUUUUAACCUGAUUCGUACCGAUAUAAAGUCCGUGUUGGGGUCAAAAUCGGUCACGACGGAAUCAAUGUCUGAAAGUCCGUAAAAAUCGGUGUUGGGGUCAAAAACGGUUACGACGAAGUUAAUAUCCAAAUCUCCACAAAAUACGAGUAUGUCUUUCCGCAACAAAUCGUGCUCGGUCAAGAGAACGUCGCAACGUAUGUUCCCGAGAUAAAGCUUCGUUCGAAUUCUAUUUAGAUCAAACAUAAGCCAUCGGAAACAUACCCAGACCAGUUACGGAUAGGUCUGAGUAUGACAAUCGGAACACGGACGAACCAAGCUCGGUCAUUAUACAACUACCGAAACGUCGAUACGACAUUAGUCCAUGCAUUCUCGUCUACCCUUCAAUGCUAUCUCCCCAAGACCAUAGCGAACCCAUUUCAUGUUUCCCGCCAUUCUAAGUCAUCGAUCAAACUUUACCGUAAAAACCGCGGAAAGUUCGUUCUUUAUCGAAAGAAGCCGUAAUAAACACUUCGAGU